CCUCCUGGCGUGAUGCACCCAGGUCACCUGUCUGAAGUUGGGGCCUCCCCUGACAAACCUCCAUUGACGGGGCACUCGAUGGUGACUGAGGUCGUGGAGGUCUGGUCCCGGGGCCAAUGGGCCGCGUGCAAGGCUGACUUUGCUCGUGGGGGGGCGGGGCACGUGGUGACGCCAGCUUGGCCGCCCGAGUCCUGGGUGCACAUUCCUGCUUGUCCUCUGAAGCCGGCGCCCAUCUGGUGCCCACUCAGCGGGGGUUAUGGGCCGUGGUUUCUGCUUUUCGGGAGGUGCGUUACCAGGGGUGCGUGUGUCUGUCUUGCCCCUCAGGAGCUCUGUGAGGACGGUGAGGGCACUUACUGUCAUCUCCAGUUCUGAUGACAAGUGGGGCCACAGCGCCUGGGUCCCCGGGGCCACGUGCGCAUUCGUGACGUUGCAGGGACCUGAGCAGGGGAGGCCCUGCUGCGCACACGGCGAUCUGAGCCCGGGGACCUGUGACCAGCCCCUGUGUCCACGGCCGGGCCGGUGCUGGGCAUGGUGGGGGGGGGGGGAGGCAGCUCCUGACAGCCUGGGGGCACCCUGUCCAGGGGACUCCGCUCCUCCCUGCCGCCCACCCCGGGCCAGGCAGGGUGGAGGGCACAAGUGAUGGCGGAGAGGGCGGCCGGGACUCCCCAGGGUUCAGGGUCCCCUCGGAGCCCCUGCCUCCUCCACGCGUAGCUUUGUCUUCUAAGAUCAGAAGGACCGUUAGGGGUUACAAACGGCUGCUCAGAGCAGCCCGGCACACGGUCUGUCGUCCGCAGACCCCUCUGCCCACGGCCCCUGCGCAGGAACCCCUGCGAGCCGGCUCUGUGAACACACCCGGGGCUGCUGGCGGGUGAAGCCAGAGCCCCAAGGAACGUUUGCUUCCUCUUCCUGCUCGGGGCACCCUCACCAGGCUGUUGGCUGGAGGGUGUUUUGUUUUUCCUUUUCUUAACCUCUGAUGGCUGGACAGCGGCCCGGUGGCCGCGAUGACCUCCGGAGGGACCUGGCAGGGACAGGCCCGGACUGGGGGCCUGGGAAGCCGGCCCAGCGCUCUCCCGUCUCUGGGGAAGACCCUGCCGUCCUCCCCCGCACUUGACGGCAGAACCUCUGUUCACGACAGAACCACUAGCAACUGUCUCGGAAGGCCUGGCGCCUGCUCGCAGGCGAGGACGGAGGCCCCUGUCGCCAAUGUGGGGCUGAGAGCAGUUCCGCAGCUGCCUGUGGCCGUGUGGGCUGGAGCACGGCGGGGGGUGGGGUGGGGCGCGGACUGAGGUCAGGGGUGACGCAGGCUGUGAGCUGGCUUAGCGGGGCUCCGGGCGUCCGAGGUGGAGGGGCUGUCCUCCCCCGUUUGCCUCCGCCCGGUUCUGGGGGAAGGAAGAGCCUGGCCGGCCUUGUGCCUCCCGGUCGGCGUGACUCCGGGCAUCGCCUGAGCCCGUGUGGGGGUGCGGGGGGGGCCGGUUUAUUCUUGGUUCACUGGAGCAGGAGCUCCUGAGGCCAAGGUCAGGGCCGUGGCAGCACCUCCGGCCGGCGCGGGGCAAGUCUAAGGCCGUCUUUGUGGAACGUGCUCUGGCCCUGCCCGGGGGUGGAGAGAUGGCCGACAAGAGUUUGACCGGGUGUGGGCGAGGGGGGGGGCACCCCUGCAAGCACUGGCCAGGCUGGUUAACCUUUGAAGACAUCUGCCUCUUUUGUGGGCUUGACUUUGGACUUGAUCUCGGCAGAGAAAAAUCUAGAUGCAGAGAGACCUUGGUGAAAGUCACUAUAGUUUGAAGGUUAACCUUGCUUGUUAUCACUUCCUUUGCGGAGUCAGAUAAUGUGUUGGGAGGGGUGAGGUGGGCGGGCAGCAGGAGAGUUAAUGUUUAAUUGGCACCCUGGCUGCCCUCGGCUCUGUGCCCAGUGCCGUCCGGAGCUGGUUGGCGGGAAAACAGGCCCUAGCGCCCGUGUCCUGGCACCAGGACAUCCCGAGAGGGCCCAGGGGGCUGUUCGCGGGUCACUGGCUUCUUCCCGUGGCCUCUAGAGCGUGGCCCAUCCUGUCCGGCCUGGACUCUGGAGUUUGCGAGCUCUGUACAGAAGCAAAACAAAACCCUGAAGUACCUCUAGCAAUUUUCGUCUGUAAGAGCACUUGUAGAAAUGACCAUACGUUGGCUGUUUUACGUUAAAUAACAUAGAGGACGCACGUUCACGUCACAUACUUCUUUUUGCCUUUUGUAAGGUGGCUACUAGAAAAUUUAAAUUUUUUUGUUAAGGUUUAUGCAUUUUUCAGAGACAGAGCACGAGCAGGGGAGGGGCAGAGAGAGAGGGAGACACAGAGUCCCAAGCAGGCUUCGGGCUCCGAGCCGUCAGCGCAGAGCCCGACGCGGGGCUCGAACUCAAUGACGGAGAGACCAUGACCCGAGCCGAAGUCAGACGUUCAACUGACUGAGCCACCGAGGCACCCCAGAAAAUUUAACAUUAGACACGUGGCUGGCAUUGUAUUUUUCGGGCCGGCACCGGUCUGGCCGUUUUGAAUGGGAGAAGUGACCGUGGCGAACCCGGGAGCGUUGCUGGCGCCUGGCCCUGCUGGGGGUGCCCGCUCUUGGUGGACCGGUGAGUCCCGGCCACGACCCGUGGGGCAGGAGCCCCGCUUCUGGCUGGCGGAGGGAGGCUGCCCACCGGCCUGCCGGUGGGGAAGAUGUGUGUCACCAGAGACGUUGUAGGGUUGGGUUACCUUCUUUUGAUUUAAAUGAGUUCGAGCCCCGCGUCGGGCUCCGUGCUGACGGCUCGGAGCCCGGAGCCCGUUUCGGAUUCUGUGUCUCCCUCUCUCUGCCCCUCCCCCGUUCAUGCUCUGUCUCUCCCUGUCUCAAAAAUAAAUAAAACGUUAAAAAAAAAAUUAAAAAAAAUUGUUUAUGUCUGCACUUAACUGUUUCUCGUUAAAUAAAAUUUUCAGUAGAAUAACAUUUUUCGUAACACGAAUACGUGAUUGUUGUAGAAGCUUGGAGAACGCAGAUGCUUCUGCUGGGUUCCUGGCUCACUAAACCACCCGCUGGGCGUGGGGGCUGCUGCCCCACGGUCUCCCAGCCCCGCGGGUCUCGGGGCCUGUCCGGUGUCAUCCCUGGGUCUCUGCUGUCCCUUUUGCGGGGUCAGUGGGCUCAGGCGUGUCGUCUUUCUCUCUGCUAAUGUGUGCCCCCACCUCAGCCCCGGCCCGCCCCUGGGCUUUCUGUGUGGCCUCAGUGGCACCUGUUGGGUUCCGUGGGCCUUUCUUGGAUGGUCGGGAUCAGGCACUUCUGGUCUCUGGACAAAAGACGUAUUAAUGAACUUUGACGUGGAUGAUUCUGAAACAUUUUUAGAUUAGAAAUCGUCUGGUCCCCCGUUGUCCUCAGACCACCGUCUGCACCUGCCGGGCCCGCGGUCCUGUGAGUCUCCACGGCUCGGAUUAGGGACACUUUGCCUUUGCAGACGCUCUGACGCCCACCGACGGCUGCUUCAUAUCACUGCAGGGAGGGCUUUUCUUCCAGUUGCGAGAGUUCUAGAGAACUGUGACGCCGGGUCACGCCGGAGUGAGCGGCCGCGUUCCAACGGGUGCCCCGUGUGGCCAGGAUGUCCUCGGCCCACGGACCGUUCCUGGCGCGUAUUCCAUUCGUGCCGGAAACCCUUCCUGCUUGGGCGUUUUCUUAGGGUCUGUGUGCGGGGAGCCUGCAGACUAGCAAGGGUGAUGGGGAUCCAGCUGGAUGGAGCUUCCUUGAGCCAAACCUCUGAAAAUAGCAGAUGUGUGUCUCCUACCUUUUUUCUCCCUUUUUGCAUCGUCUGGCGGUCAGUGAGGGUCGGAGCGGAGGCGGGUGACCGUGGGGCUGCUCUGGGCCUCGUGGAUGGAAGGGCGGUGGGUGGCCCCCGU
Long non-coding RNA from Neofelis nebulosa (Clouded leopard), 3883 nucleotides. RefSeq lists it as uncharacterized. NCBI's taxonomy places the organism in Eukaryota, Metazoa, Chordata, Mammalia, Carnivora, Felidae. The transcript is spliced from 3 exons. The record is from RefSeq and is a predicted model, not a curated record.